This 253-nucleotide ribosomal RNA is filed under the name uncultured bacterium. RNAcentral describes it as "partial 16S ribosomal RNA". It matches the Rfam family "Bacterial small subunit ribosomal RNA", at positions 524 to 776 of the family's 1533-position model. The record is from RNAcentral.
UACAGAGGUCUCAAGCGUUGUUCGGAUUCAUUGGGCGUAAAGGGUGCGUAGGCGGCGCGACAAGUCAGGCGUGAAAGCCCCGGGCUCAACCCGGGAAUUGCGCUUGAUACUGUCGUGCUUGAGGCCGGGAGAGGAUGGCGGAAUUCCCAGUGUAGAGGUGAAAUUCGUAGAGAUCAUGAGGAAGACCAGUGGCGAAGGCGGGUCUCUGGACAGUUCCUGACACUGAGGCACGAAGGCCAGGGGAGCAAACGGG